CGUAGGCAGCAAGCGUUGUUCGGAGUUACUGGGCGUAAAGAGUGCGUAGGCGGUCCUGUAAGUUUGGUGUGAAAUCUCCCGGCUCAACUGGGAGGGUGCGCCGAAGACUGCAGGGCUUGAGUAUGGGAGAGGUAAGCGGAAUUCCUGGUGUAGCGGUGAAAUGCGUAGAUAUCAGGAGGAACACCUGUGGUGUAGACAGCUUACUGGACCAUAACUGACGCUGAGGCACGAAAGCGUGGGUAGCAAACAGGAUUAGAUACCCUGGUAGUCCACGCCCUAAACGAUGCAUACUUGGUGUGAGCCAUUCAUUUGGUUCGUGCCGGAGCUAACGCGUUAAGUAUGCCGCCUGGGGAGUACGGUCGCAAGGCUG
RNAcentral lists this ribosomal RNA (370 nucleotides) under uncultured organism. RNAcentral describes it as "bacterial SSU rRNA". It matches the Rfam family "Bacterial small subunit ribosomal RNA", at positions 526 to 896 of the family's 1533-position model. The record is from RNAcentral.